GGCCAGCCUGGGCUACAUAGUGAGUUCAAGGCCCACCUGAACUACAUAGCGAGACCCUGUCUCACACACACAAAAAAAGGUUCUGAGUGAAAUGUUGGCAGAACCCUUGCAGGAUGCAAGGAACACAAUUUGAGAAUAAUUGACAUAACCUAAUCUUCCAUUUUCCAGAUGGGAGGCCUGAGGCCUGAGACAGACCAGGAUGCCAGAGGGAGAUGGGCUCCAUGGCUAGAAGUGCAUCCCUUGUCCCUCAUCUUUACAGAACUCACCGAGGAGAGGAUGGCUGCCAGCUUUGACCCCAACUCUUCCAGACUGCGUAGAUGGAGCCACAGUGCUCACCCAGGGAAGCAUGCGGACCCCAAGCCCGAGGUUCUCCCAAAGCUGAUUGUCCCAGAGCUAUGGGUGAUAAGAAUCAUUCUGGAGACACCUGUUGAGAAUAAAAGUUCCCAGGCCACCACAGUCCCCAUGGCAUUAGACUCCAGGGAGGGUCCUGAGAGCCUGCAUGGGAACAACAACUGCCAGUGGCCUCUUGUUACCGGGGAGGGGUUAGAAGCUGCCCCUCAAGGAGUCCCUGGAUGAACUCCAAGGUGUUGAGAGCUCGAGUCCAUACAGUCCCUAGGUGUGGUGGGGUGAAGCUUUACUCUCAAGCGGCGGUGGACCAGAAAGACCACCAGGAGGCAUCAGUGAGGAGAAAAAGCACACACAUGUCCUUCAUUGAUGGAGUAGGCCAGGGCCACCAGGUGAAGGCUGUGUCCCUGAGACAGCAGGUCCCAGGUGCUGGAUUGUAGUAAGUGAGGUUGAAGGCUAUUUCUGUGGAUGAAUGCACACCCACCCUGGUGAGCAGGCACCACCUGCUCAGCCAGAAACCAGAAUCUGCCUUUCCAGAAGGCUUCCUGGAGUGAGGGGUCCUGCCGGCUCUCCUGGUGGUUUCAAGCAGGUGGUCCCGGUUGGGAAUGUGCCUCUGGAUCACCAAGGCCCUGAAGCCUUCCCCCGAGGCGAGUCACUUCCCCUGUAGUGGCCCAGGCCUGCCCUGACCUCGCCCCCUCUCCCCAGGGUGUGAAGGAGUUCAAGUGUGAGGUUUGUGGCCGGGAGUUCACACCCUGCAGGCCAACAUGAAGCGGCACAUGCUGAUCCACACCAGCGUCCGGCCCUACCAGUGCCACAUCUGCUUCAAGACCUUUGUGCAGAAGCAGACCCUCAAGACCCACAUGAUUGUACACUCGCCUGUGAAGCCAUUCAAGUGCAAGGUA
RNAcentral lists this long non-coding RNA (1247 nucleotides) under Heterocephalus glaber (naked mole-rat). Its description in RNAcentral is "lncRNA (ENSHGLG00000038859.1)". The record is from RNAcentral. Lineage: Eukaryota; Metazoa; Chordata; Mammalia; Rodentia; Bathyergidae.